This 253-nucleotide ribosomal RNA is filed under the name uncultured bacterium. RNAcentral describes it as "partial 16S ribosomal RNA". It matches the Rfam family "Bacterial small subunit ribosomal RNA", at positions 524 to 776 of the family's 1533-position model. The record is from RNAcentral.
GACGAAGGGGGCUAGCGUUGUUCGGAAUUACUGGGCGUAAAGCGCGUGUAGGCGGCUGCCAAAGUCGGGUGUGAAAGCCUUGAGCUCAACUCAAGAAAUGCACUCGAUACUUGGUGGCUAGAGGACCGGAGAGGAUAGUGGAAUUCCAGGUGUAGCGGUGAAAUGCGUAGAUAUCUGGAGGAACACCGGUGGCGAAGGCGGCAUCCUGGACCAAUAUUGACGCUGAGGAGCGAAAGCCAGGGGAGCAAACGGG